Molecule: ribosomal RNA, 232 nt
Filed under: Aeromonas caviae
Lineage: Bacteria; Pseudomonadati; Pseudomonadota; Gammaproteobacteria; Aeromonadales; Aeromonadaceae
Also listed under: 2 other names
Description: partial 23S ribosomal RNA
Rfam family: Bacterial large subunit ribosomal RNA
Source: RNAcentral
GUCGAGUCGGCCUGCGCGGAAGAUGUAACGGGGCUCAAACCAGGCACCGAAGCCGCGGAUUCACGCUAAGCGUGAGUGGUAGGGGAGCGUUCUGUAAGUCUGCGAAGGUGUGUCGAGAGGCAUGCUGGAGAUAUCAGAAGUGCGAAUGCUGACGUAAGUAACGAUAAAGGGGGUGAAAAGCCUCCUCGCCGGAAGACCAAGGGUUCCUGUCCAACGUUAAUCGGGGCAGGGU